This is a long non-coding RNA of Heterocephalus glaber (naked mole-rat), 1914 nucleotides long. Lineage: Eukaryota; Metazoa; Chordata; Mammalia; Rodentia; Bathyergidae. The record is from Ensembl.
UUCUUGCAAUCUGCAUGCAUCUUGCUUAUUUCCUUGUUUCUAUGUUCCUUUGUUAUGCUUUUUCUUGCUUUGAGACAGGGUCUCACUAUGUAGCUCGGGCUGGCUUCAAACUUGUAAUCCUCCUGCCUCAGCUUCACGUCCUGUUUGUAUGCUGAGAAUAACAUGUUUUCCUUCCUGUAGGGAAAGACCCUGGUCGAACUCGGUGACCAGCCUAUUGCUGGUGCUCAGUGGAUAUUUAUUUAUUGAAUGAACGAACAUGUAUAAUCCCUAAGGUCAUAUGGUUCCCCAGGAAGCAUAGCCUUUAAUAGGGAAAUCAAUUUUUUAAUUGAUGCCUUUUUCUUUUCUUUGUUGUUUUUUUUUGAGACAGGGUCUCUGGUGUAGCCCAGGCUGGCCUCAAGCUUGGAGCAAUCCUCCUGCCUCAGCCUCCCGAGCGCUGGGAUGACAGGUGUGCCCCACCACGGUGGGCAAGGAUACCUUCACCGAGUCCCUUCCCGGACCCCGGCCCUCUUGUCUGGGGGUGGCGUCAGCCUCCCUCUCCUCACUGUCGGGAGCAGUGAUAUUGACUCCAGGGUGGAGGACUCAGUGCAGGGAGACCACUCAGGUCUGACUGUGGAUCACACUGAGUCAAGCUACUGCCCAAACUGGACCUCCCCAUCUGGGCAGUGCCCCUUCCCUCAGGAACACACCUGUGUGGGCUUUGUGGCAGGGUAGUUUUCCAGUGCCAGAGAAGACUGGAGGUGGAGAUGGAGAAAUGCUAUUUAUUAGCACUAAUGAAUUUCCACUUUAUCAUUUAGCGUUUUUUCAACUGGUGAAAUGAAUGAGACAGAUCUACACGUAUUGAUACAGAUUACUUGCCAAGAUAUAUCAUUGUGAAAUGUGUACAAUUGUUAGGGGAGCGUGUGGCCCAUGCCUGUAAUUCCAGUACUCUGGGAGGCUGAGGCAGGAGGAUCUCUGGUUCAAGUGCAGUGGGACCGGACCGGACUGGGCUGUGCUCUGGGGCGCCACCCUGGGUUUGCCCUCUGGGGCGGGGUGGAUGUGUGUGAUCGUUAGAUGUAAAGGAGCAUUUCUGGGGCUGCACAGAAUCUGCGUGGAAGGGCGCUGAGGCCACAAAGUGACUCAGACCAGAAGGUGACUCUGCAGUUCUUUUCUCUGCCCAAAAUGGUAAGUUAAUAUUUGAGUUAAAGUUCUUUCUAGAAAACAAAUCCUGCAAGUUGGUUUUUUUUUUUUUUAAAGUAUUCAAGGGAAAUGCAAAGUAGGCUGGUGGGACCCGUGCCAUUUCAAGUCUUUCCCACACAGCAGGUUGGGCAACAUUCAGAGAACUUCCUUAUUUCAACUCUGUCCUAUUCUGUUUAUUGGACAGGGUCUCGCUAUGCAGUCCAGUCUGGCUUUGAUCCUCCUGCCUCAGCCUCCCAAGUGCUGGGAUGACAGGCAUGCAACACCACACCUGCCUCACAGCUCUGAGUUUUAUGAAUGGUGCCAGUUAGACAUUCUCGUACACACCUUCCGGUGCCCUGUGCAGUACCGGGGAUUGAACUCGGGACCUUGCACUUGUGAUGGAGUCGACAGAACCACCGAGCUAAAUCCCGGCUCAUUUAUUUUUAUUUAUUUAUUUACUUUUUAUGUUGAAUGUUUAUUGAAUUAAAUUACAGUUAUUUAAAAAUCUGUAACUGAUAUACAUUAGAUUUUUAUGUCUGUAUCAGGUCACCACAAAUCAGAUUUAUAUACAGCCUUCAACUGCAGAUAACACAAAGUUUCUAAGCGAUGCUAACAGAGACACCUUUGUGUUUUUUUUGCAUUUUUUGAGAUACCUUUUCCUUUACCAUAGCAAAUUAAAAAUUUUAAGUUUACAGAUGUAUAAAACACUUUAGCCAAAAAGUCUCUUUUUAAGAAAAAAGGGCAUUUUCUCAUUUUAGC